CCUACGGGGGGCAGCAGUGAGGAAUAUUGGUCAAUGGACGAGAGUCUGAACCAGCGAAGUCGCGUGAAGGAUGACUGCCCUCUGGGUUGUAAACUUCUUUUAUAAAGGAAUAAAACGAGGCACGUGUGCCUUUUUGCAUGUACUUUAUGAAUAAGGAUCGGCUAACUCCGUGCCAGCAGCCGCGGUAAUACGGAGGAUCCGAGCGUUAUCCGGAUUUAGUGGGUUUAAAGGGAGCGUAGAUGGGUUGUUAAGUCAGUUGUGAAAGUUUGCGGCUCAACCGUAAAAUUGCAAUUGAUACUGGCAGUCUGGAGUACAGGUGAGGUAGGCGGAAUUCGUGGUGUAGCGGUGAAAUGCUUAGAUAUCACGAAGAACCCCGAUUGCGAAGGCAGCUUACUAAACUGUGACUGACAUUGAUGCUCGAAAGUGUGGGUAUCAAACAGGAUUAGAUACCCGAGUAGUC
RNAcentral lists this ribosomal RNA (460 nucleotides) under uncultured bacterium. RNAcentral's name for it is "partial 16S ribosomal RNA". It matches the Rfam family "Bacterial small subunit ribosomal RNA", at positions 338 to 795 of the family's 1533-position model. The record is from RNAcentral.